RNAcentral lists this ribosomal RNA (433 nucleotides) under uncultured bacterium. RNAcentral describes it as "partial 16S ribosomal RNA". It matches the Rfam family "Bacterial small subunit ribosomal RNA", at positions 29 to 507 of the family's 1533-position model. The record is from RNAcentral.
AACGAACGCUGGCGGCAUGCCUAACACAUGCAAGUCGAACGAUGCUUUCGGGCAUAGUGGCGCACGGGUGCGUAACGCGUGGGAAUCUGCCCUUGGGUUCGGAAUAACAGUGAGAAAUUGCUGCUAAUACCGGAUGAUGUCUUCGGACCAAAGAUUUAUCGCCCAGGGUUGAGCCCGCGUAGGAUUAGCUAGUUGGUGGGGUAAUGGCCUACCAAGGCGACGAUCCUUAGCUGGUCUGAGAGGAUGAUUAGCCACACUGGGACGGAGACACGGCCCAGAAUCCUACGGGAGGGAGGAGUGGGGAAUAUUGGACAAUGGGCGCAAGCCUGAUCCAGCAAUGCCGCGUGAGUGAUGAAGGCCUUAGGGUUGUAAAGCUCUUUUACCCGGGAUGAUAAUGACAGUACCGGGAGAAUAAGCUCCGGCUAACUCCGUG